GUUGGAGUGGUGUAGUGGCAGCACGUCUGACUUUGAAUCAGGAGGCGCGGGUUCGAUCCCCGUCUCCAGCACCC
Molecule: transfer RNA, 74 nt
Filed under: Actinomycetota bacterium
Lineage: Bacteria; Bacillati; Actinomycetota
Description: Actinobacteria bacterium tRNA-Gln
Rfam family: tRNA
About the family: Transfer RNA (tRNA) molecules are approximately 80 nucleotides in length. Their secondary structure includes four short double-helical elements and three loops (D, anti-codon, and T loops).
Source: RNAcentral